UUAAAAAAGAUGCAUUCUUGAAGAAAAUUUUAAUUAAAAAAAUCAAAAGAAAAAUUGAACAGUGCCUAAAUCUUUAUUUUUCAUAACCUACAUUUUUUUUCAAAUUAGACAGUUUUACACUGAAUGACACAAAAGGAAACUUAAAUUACCAAUAGUUUACAUGUAAGCUUGAUUCCAGUCUUAAUGAAAAGAAUUAGAACAAAAACAAAAACCUUCAAGAAAGCUUCCACAUUACACUUGCGUUGUGUGAAUUGGCAGCUGUUGGCUCUCCUUCCGUCUUCGAUUGUCUGCUGCUUUCUGGGUAAGAGGCCUUGAAGUACAUGGACCCUAACUAGAGCACACUGACGGCUGGUACAAAGACAGGCAUGCACCUUCCUCACCUGCCGCCCUUGCAGAAACUGAGCCAGUUUUUAAAUGUAAACUGCAGCGGUCCUGACUAAUGCAGCAACAUAAAACAUCUUUUGCCACCUGCUAAUGACAACCAGUGAUGUGAUUACAGGAAGGGCUGAUCAGAAACAUCAUGACACUAACUCUUAAAAAGGAACUAUUCUACUUGAAAUUCAUGUCUAGUGAAAAAAGCCAGAUUCUCAUAUUUCCAGAUGACAAGCAUCACCUCACAAUUUUACAAGUUAAAAUGUCAUUUGUGAUUGCUGCAUCUGAUUCUAUACCUUGAGAUACUGCUGGGGGAAAGGAAAGAGUUAAAUUUUAAAAAAUGUACGAAAGCCACACACUACUGGCUGCGUGUGAUGGAGCCGCUGUCUGUGUGCCGUAUCACAGCUUCCCGUUGUGAACUCCCAUUCCUUUCUGUGAAGGGACAUCUCAGAGCAAUGUCAGAAAGGUCGUGUUGUAGACAUUAUAGAAGUAUUUGGCAUAUUACCUUUGCUUAAUUAAAAAGGAUGCUAUAAAAAUCACAUCAGAGCGAGGUUUCAACUCUCGAUGCAACAGACUGGCUGCAGGAGCAGUAAACACAGCACACUGAGCCAGCAGGGACGCAGCAGAUUCCACCCUGCGCCUCUCAGGCACCGCCUGCCACACGAUUGGCUGCUACCUCAGGGGCCCACCGUCAUGCUGUCUGCCAACAAAGAGCAGAUCGCUACAGCUGGCUCUAGCACACACCUGCCUCCAGGGAAAGGAUUUGUCAUCAUUGAGAACCAGUGUCUCAGCUCCACAGGGUUUGUGAUUUGGGGGAUGAUGAUGGCUGACAACAUCCGCUCCCUCUUCCAGCAAAGACUGCGACAUUAAGGAAUUCCUAGGGCUUGGAGCAUGCCCUUCCAACGCUGUAU
RNAcentral lists this long non-coding RNA (1283 nucleotides) under Equus asinus (donkey). RNAcentral's name for it is "lncRNA (ENSEASG00005038499.1)". The record is from RNAcentral. Lineage: Eukaryota; Metazoa; Chordata; Mammalia; Perissodactyla; Equidae.